GGGUGCUCUUGGCUUUUCUGCCAUGAGCAUAGCAGCGUUCAGCUUGUGGUAGAAAAGACAAAAGCCCCGUUAAUUUUUCAAUCAACGAGGCUUAAAUCAUGAUACUCAGCAGUUCUGAUUCUAGUCUCUAUUUAACCGAGAGGCAAGAUGUAUGCUACGAAA
RNAcentral lists this antisense RNA (162 nucleotides) under Photobacterium damselae subsp. damselae CIP 102761. Its description in RNAcentral is "sok antitoxin (CssrC)". It matches the Rfam family "sok antitoxin (CssrC)". From Rfam's summary of the family: Also identified in Shigella as CssrC. Lineage: Bacteria; Pseudomonadati; Pseudomonadota; Gammaproteobacteria; Vibrionales; Vibrionaceae. The record is from Rfam by way of RNAcentral.